Molecule: ribosomal RNA, 1492 nt
Filed under: Lacticaseibacillus paracasei
Lineage: Bacteria; Bacillati; Bacillota; Bacilli; Lactobacillales; Lactobacillaceae
Description: bacterial SSU rRNA
Rfam family: Bacterial small subunit ribosomal RNA
Source: RNAcentral
GAUGAACGCUGGCGGCGUGCCUAAUACAUGCAAGUCGAACGAGUUCUCGUUGAUGAUCGGUGCUUGCACCGAGAUUCAACAUGGAACGAGUGGCGGACGGGUGAGUAACACGUGGGUAACCUGCCCUUAAGUGGGGGAUAACAUUUGGAAACAGAUGCUAAUACCGCAUAGAUCCAAGAACCGCAUGGUUCUUGGCUGAAAGAUGGCGUAAACUAUCGCUUUUGGAUGGACCCGCGGCGUAUUAGCUAGUUGGUGAGGUAAUGGCUCACCAAGGCGAUGAUACGUAGCCGAACUGAGAGGUUGAUCGGCCACAUUGGGACUGAGACACGGCCCAAACUCCUACGGGAGGCAGCAGUAGGGAAUCUUCCACAAUGGACGCAAGUCUGAUGGAGCAACGCCGCGUGAGUGAAGAAGGCUUUCGGGUCGUAAAACUCUGUUGUUGGAGAAGAAUGGUCGGCAGAGUAACUGUUGUCGGCGUGACGGUAUCCAACCAGAAAGCCACGGCUAACUACGUGCCAGCAGCCGCGGUAAUACGUAGGUGGCAAGCGUUAUCCGGAUUUAUUGGGCGUAAAGCGAGCGCAGGCGGUUUUUUAAGUCUGAUGUGAAAGCCCUCGGCUUAACCGAGGAAGCGCAUCGGAAACUGGGAAACUUGAGUGCAGAAGAGGACAGUGGAACUCCAUGUGUAGCGGUGAAAUGCGUAGAUAUAUGGAAGAACACCAGUGGCGAAGGCGGCUGUCUGGUCUGUAACUGACGCUGAGGCUCGAAAGCAUGGGUAGCGAACAGGAUUAGAUACCCUGGUAGUCCAUGCCGUAAACGAUGAAUGCUAGGUGUUGGAGGGUUUCCGCCCUUCAGUGCCGCAGCUAACGCAUUAAGCAUUCCGCCUGGGGAGUACGACCGCAAGGUUGAAACUCAAAGGAAUUGACGGGGGCCCGCACAAGCGGUGGAGCAUGUGGUUUAAUUCGAAGCAACGCGAAGAACCUUACCAGGUCUUGACAUCUUUUGAUCACCUGAGAGAUCAGGUUUCCCCUUCGGGGGCAAAAUGACAGGUGGUGCAUGGUUGUCGUCAGCUCGUGUCGUGAGAUGUUGGGUUAAGUCCCGCAACGAGCGCAACCCUUAUGACUAGUUGCCAGCAUUUAGUUGGGCACUCUAGUAAGACUGCCGGUGACAAACCGGAGGAAGGUGGGGAUGACGUCAAAUCAUCAUGCCCCUUAUGACCUGGACUACACACGUGCUACAAUGGAUGGUACAACGAGUUGCGAGACCGCGAGGUCAAGCUAAUCUCUUAAAGCCAUUCUCAGUUCGGACUGUAGGCUGCAACUCGCCUACACGAAGUCGGAAUCGCUAGUAAUCGCGGAUCAGCACGCCGCGGUGAAUACGUUCCCGGGCCUUGUACACACCGCCCGUCACACCAUGAGAGUUUGUAACACCCGAAGCCGGUGGCGUAACCCUUUUAGGGAGCGAGCCGUCUAAGGUGGGACAAAUGAUUAGGGUG